RNAcentral lists this transfer RNA (76 nucleotides) under Caldimonas mangrovi. RNAcentral's name for it is "tRNA-Asp". It matches the Rfam family "tRNA". From Rfam's summary of the family: Transfer RNA (tRNA) molecules are approximately 80 nucleotides in length. Their secondary structure includes four short double-helical elements and three loops (D, anti-codon, and T loops). Lineage: Bacteria; Pseudomonadati; Pseudomonadota; Betaproteobacteria; Burkholderiales; Sphaerotilaceae. The record is from RNAcentral.
GCUCCGUUGACUCAGUGGCCCGAGUGCCGGCCUGUCCAGCCGGAAGCCGCGGGUUCGAAUCCCGCACGGGGCGCCA